Molecule: transfer RNA, 89 nt
Filed under: Dreissena polymorpha
Lineage: Eukaryota; Metazoa; Mollusca; Bivalvia; Myida; Dreissenidae
Rfam family: tRNA
About the family: Transfer RNA (tRNA) molecules are approximately 80 nucleotides in length. Their secondary structure includes four short double-helical elements and three loops (D, anti-codon, and T loops).
Source: Rfam by way of RNAcentral
GCCGGAAUAGCUCAGUUGGGAGAGCGUUAGACUGAAUUUGUUUACGAAACAAUAAUCUAAAGGCUCCGGUUCAAUCCCGGGUUCCGGCA